CCAAUAGCGUAUAUUAAAGUUGUUGCAGUUAAAAAGCUCGUAGUUGAAUUUCGGGAUUAGUGCGCUGGUCAUGCCUUUGGUAUGUACUGGUGUUACUGAUUCCUACCUUCUGAAGAACCGUUAUGUCAUUCAUUUGGUGUGGCGGGGCAUCAGGACUGUUACUUUGAAAAAAUUAGAGUGUUUAAAGCAGGCUCGGGCUUGACUACCUGAGCAUGGAAUAAUGAAAUAGGACGUUUGACCCUAUUUUGUUGGUUUCUAGGAUCGACGUAAUGAUUAAUAGGGAUAGUUGGGGGCAUUAGUAUUCAAUUGUCAGAGGUGAAAUUCUUGGAUUUAUUGAAGACUAACUACUGCGAAAGCAUUUGCCAAGGAUGUUUUCAUUAAUCAAGAACGAAAGUUAGGGGAUCGAAGACGAUCAGAUACCGUCGUAGUCUUAACCAUAAACUAUGCCGACUAGGGAUCGGAUGAUGUUAAUUUUUUAAUGACUCAUUCGGCGCCUUACG
This 500-nucleotide ribosomal RNA is filed under the name uncultured Glomeromycotina. RNAcentral's name for it is "partial small subunit ribosomal RNA". It matches the Rfam family "Eukaryotic small subunit ribosomal RNA", at positions 591 to 1092 of the family's 1831-position model. The record is from RNAcentral. Lineage: Eukaryota; Fungi; Glomeromycota.